AAGGCGCUUGAGAGAACUCGGGUGAAGGAACUAGGCAAAAUGGUGCCGUAACUUCGGGAGAAGGCACGCUGACACGUAGGUGAAGUGAUUUACUCACGGAGCUGAAGUCAGUCGAAGAUACCAGCUGGCUGCAACUGUUUAUUAAAAACACAGCACUGUGCAAACACGAAAGUGGACGUAUACGGUGUGACGCCUGCCCGGUGCCGGAAGGUUAAUUGAUGGGGUCAGCGCAAGCGAAGCUCCUGAUCGAAGCCCCGGUAAACGGCGGCCGUAACUAUAACGGUCCUAAGGUAGCGAAAUUCCUUGUCGGGUAAGUUCCGACCUGCACGAAUGGCGUAAUGAUGGCCAGGCUGUCUCCACCCGAGACUCAGUGAAAUUGAACUCGCUGUGAAGAUGCAGUGUACCCGCGGCAAGACGGAAAGACCCCGUGAACCUUUACUAUAGCUUGACACUGAACAUUGAGCCUUGAUGUGUAGGAUAGGUGGGAGGCUUUGAAGUGUGGACGCCAGUCUGCAUGGAGCCGACCUUGAAAUACCACCCUUUAAUGUUUGAUGUUCUAACGUGGACCCGUUACCCGGGUUGCGGACAGUGUCUGGUGGGUAGUUUGACUGGGGCGGUCUCCUCCUAAAGAGUAACGGAGGAGCACGAAGGUUGGCUAAUCCUGGUCGGACAUCAGGAGGUUAGUGCAAUGGCAUAAGCCAGCUUGACUGCGAGCGUGACGGCGCGAGCAGGUGCGAAAGCAGGUCAUAGUGAUCCGGUGGUUCUGAAUGGAAGGGCCAUCGCUCAACGGAUAAAAGGUACUCCGGGGAUAACAGGCUGAUACCGCCCAAGAGUUCAUAUCGACGGCGGUGUUUGGCACCUCGAUGUCGGCUCAUCACAUCCUGGGGCUGAAGUAGGUCCCAAGGGUAUGGCUGUUCGCCAUUUAAAGUGGUACGCGAGCUGGGUUUAGAACGUCGUGAGACAGUUCGGUCCCUAUCUGCCGUGGGCGCUGGAGAACUGAGGGGGGCUGCUCCUAGUACGAGAGGACCGGAGUGGACGCAUCACUGGUGUUCGGGUUGUCAUGCCAAUGGCACUGCCCGGUAGCUAAAUGCGGAAGAGAUAAGUGCUGAAAGCAUCUAAGCACGAAACUUGCCCCGAGAUGAGUUCUCCCUGAGACUUUAGGUCUCCUGAAGGAACGUUGAAGACGACGACGUUGAUAGGCCGGGUGUGUAAGCGCAGCGAUGCGUUGAGCUAACCGGUACUAAUGAACCGUGAGGCUUAACCUUACAACGCCG
Molecule: ribosomal RNA, 1274 nt
Filed under: Salmonella enterica
Lineage: Bacteria; Pseudomonadati; Pseudomonadota; Gammaproteobacteria; Enterobacterales; Enterobacteriaceae
Description: partial 23S ribosomal RNA
Rfam family: Bacterial large subunit ribosomal RNA
Source: RNAcentral